UAAAAAAAUUAGAUUUAAUUAUAUAUGUGUUUAAUAUUAAGAAACAUCUAUUAAUAAUGUAAAGGAGAUUGAAAAUUUAUAUUUAUUAAAUCUUUUAAGUACUGUAAAGGAAGAUUCUAAUUUAAAUAAAAGUAAUGCUAAAUGCAUGUACCUUUUGUAUCAUGGUUUAGCUAGAUAUAUUUUUAAUAUUUAAAGUUCUCGAAACCUAAUGAGCUAUCCUUAUUUUUUAUAUUAGUAUAUAGAAAUUAGAUGUAGCAAAAUCUUUUUCAAAAAUAAGGAUAGAAAUGAAAUUUUAUUCGCAUUAGAUGAUAGCUAGUUUUUCUCAAGAGAUAUAGAAGUAUCUAGGUCUGUAAUAUAAAUUUAGAAUUCUUACUAAAUUUAAUAUAACAGACUUAUCAAUUUUUUAAGGAUAAGCUUAAAAAAUUAAUAAGCAUUUAACUUUUCUUAAAAUUUAGGCUUGAAAAUAGCCAGAAUAUUAAAGUUUGUUAUAAUUUAUUUAACUUAAAAGAGAAAGAUAUAUAUGCUAUUGAAUAUAGAGAAAAGUUAUCAUAAACUGAAAGGAUAAAUAUUAAUGCUAAAAUGAGUAUUUAUAUAAUUUGCUUUCUGAUCAUACUAAAAGUCAGAAUUAAACAAUAAAAUAUUAAAAAGAAUUUUCGCGAAGGAACUCGGCAAAUAUUGCUCUGCCUGUUUAUCAAAAACAUGGCUCCUUGAAAUAUUUUGAUAAGGAGUCGGACCUGCCCAGUGAUUUUAAAUUUAACGGCCGCGGUACCCUGACCGUGCAAAGGUAGCAUAAUCAUUUGCCCUGUAAUUGAGGGCUAGUAUGAAUGGUUUGACAAGAGUAAUACUGUCUCCGCAAAAAUUUCCAGAAUUUAUUUUCUAAGUGAAGAAUCUUAGAUAAAAUUAAAAGACAAGAAGACCCUAUCGAGCUUGAAAUAUAUUUACAAAAUAAAAAGAAUAACUUAAUAUUUUCGAUUGUAAAAAAUUUUGGUUGGGGCGACUAAAGAACAAACAAAGCUUCUUUCUAAUAACUUAACUUAUAAGUAAUGAUCCGUUAUUAUAACGAUUAAAAGAAUUAGUUACCGUAGGGAUAACAGCAUAAUCUUUUUUGAGAGUUCUAAUCGAAAAAAGGGUUUGUGACCUCGAUGUUGGACUAGAAUAUCCUGAAAGAUGCAGAAGUCUUCAAGGGUUGGUCUGUUCGACCAUUAAAAUUCUACAUGAUCUGAGUUCAGACCGGCGUGAGCCAGGUCAGUUUCUAUCUUUAAUUAUAAUUUUAAAUUUAGUACGAAAGGACCAAUUUAGAGUAAAAAUUACAAAUAUAGAUGAACUAUAAUUAGUAAAUUAAUUUAUAUUUAAA
RNAcentral lists this ribosomal RNA (1354 nucleotides) under Neverita didyma. Its description in RNAcentral is "16S ribosomal RNA". It matches the Rfam family "Bacterial large subunit ribosomal RNA". The record is from RNAcentral. Lineage: Eukaryota; Metazoa; Mollusca; Gastropoda; Littorinimorpha; Naticidae.